RNAcentral lists this ribosomal RNA (253 nucleotides) under uncultured bacterium. RNAcentral's name for it is "partial 16S ribosomal RNA". It matches the Rfam family "Bacterial small subunit ribosomal RNA", at positions 524 to 776 of the family's 1533-position model. The record is from RNAcentral.
UACGAAGGGGGCUAGCGUCGUUCGGAAUUACUGGGCGUAAAGCGCACGUAGGCGGACAUUUAAGUUGGAGGUGAAAGCCUUGGGCUCAACCCAAGAAUUGCCUUUGAUACUGGAUGUCUCGAGACCGGGAGAGGUGAGUGGAAUUCCGAGUGUAGAGGUGAAAUUCGUAGAUAUUCGGAAGAACACCAGUGGCGAAGGCGGCUCACUGGCCCGGUUCUGACGCUGAGGUGCGAAAGCGUGGGGAGCAAACAGG